Molecule: transfer RNA, 73 nt
Filed under: Moenkhausia costae
Lineage: Eukaryota; Metazoa; Chordata; Actinopteri; Characiformes; Acestrorhamphidae
Description: tRNA-Leu
Rfam family: tRNA
About the family: Transfer RNA (tRNA) molecules are approximately 80 nucleotides in length. Their secondary structure includes four short double-helical elements and three loops (D, anti-codon, and T loops).
Source: RNAcentral
GCUUCUAUAGGAUAAUAGUCUAUCCAUUGGUCUUAGGAACCAAAAACUCUUGGUGCAAAUCCAAGUAGUAGCU